GGGAGGAUAUUGCUUCUUAAGGAGUACGUAAAGCGAAUCAUGGAUCAUCAAAGGAGUACUUAUCAAGGAUCAAGUCGGUUUUACUUCUGGUCUUCAUUAAAUAGGAUCACGAUCUCUAUCGUUUUGUAGGUUGUCGAGAAGGGCAGUCAUACCUUCGAUGAGUAACGUGAAAUACCUCUCCCUUGCCGAGCAAGAGAAAAC
This is a long non-coding RNA of Zingiber officinale, 201 nucleotides long. RefSeq lists it as uncharacterized. NCBI's taxonomy places the organism in Eukaryota, Viridiplantae, Streptophyta, Magnoliopsida, Zingiberales, Zingiberaceae. The record is from RefSeq and is a predicted model, not a curated record. The transcript is spliced from 2 exons.